RNAcentral lists this ribosomal RNA (655 nucleotides) under uncultured bacterium. RNAcentral describes it as "bacterial SSU rRNA". It matches the Rfam family "Bacterial small subunit ribosomal RNA", at positions 102 to 788 of the family's 1533-position model. The record is from RNAcentral.
ACGGCUGAGUAACGCGUGGGAAUUUGCCCCAAAGUGAGGAAUAACUGCCCGAAAGGGUGGCUAAUGCCGCAUAUGAUCUUCGGAUUAAAGGAUUUAUCCGCUUUGGGAGAAGCCCGCGUCGGAUUAGGUAGUUGGUGAGGUAAUAGCUCACCAAGCCGACAAUCCGUAGCUGGUCUGAGAGGAUGACCAGCCAGACUGGAACUGAGACACGGUCCAGACUCCUACGGGAGGCAGCAGUGAGGAAUCUUCCACAAUGGGCGAAAGCCUGAUGGAGCAACGCCGCGUGCAGGAUGAAGGCCUUCGGGUUGUAAACUGCUUUUAUAAGUGAGGAAUAUGACGGUAGCUUAUGAAUAAGGAUCGGCUAACCACGUGCCAGCAGCCGCGGUCAUACGUAGGAUCCGAGCGUUAUCCGGAGUGACUGGGCGUAAAGAGUUGCGUAGGCGGUUUGUUAAGUGAAUAGUGAAAUCUGGUGGCUCAACCAUACAGGCUAUUAUUCAAACUGGCAAACUCGAGAGUGGUAGAGGUCACUGGAAUUUCUUGUGUAGGAGUGAAAUCCGUAGAUAUAAGAAGGAACACCGAUGGCGCAGGCAGGUGACUGGACCAUUUCUGACGCUAAGGCACGAAAGCGUGGGGAGCGAACCGGAUUAGAUACCCG